GGCCGCCUGGCGAAAUGGCAUCGCGUCUGACUACGAUUCAGUCGCAAUCAGGAGAUUGCAGGUUCGACCCCUGCGGUGGUCA
Phlebiopsis gigantea 11061_1 CR5-6 is the source of this 82-nucleotide transfer RNA. It matches the Rfam family "tRNA". Rfam says of the family: Transfer RNA (tRNA) molecules are approximately 80 nucleotides in length. Their secondary structure includes four short double-helical elements and three loops (D, anti-codon, and T loops). NCBI's taxonomy places the organism in Eukaryota, Fungi, Basidiomycota, Agaricomycetes, Polyporales, Phanerochaetaceae. The record is from Rfam.